UGCCAGAUUGUCGUACUCACCCGCUUAUAUUUCCCGACUUCCUACCCCAAAACUGUCUUCUGGGCUCCAAUAACGAAACGCAUUUAUAGUUAUCGUUAAAAGAGUUAGAUGCUGAUGUUUCUUGGCAAUAGUUAGGCGUCAGAAACCGGUAAAUACUAUGCUCUGAGUGCUCUGAGUACGACAAACUGGCAACGGUGUCUUGAGGUCCCAACGUUGCUAGAUUGUCGUACUCAGCCUUUUAUAUUAACCAACUUCCGACUCAAAAACUGUCUCCUGGGCCCCAACAACUAGAUUCAUUAAUAUUUGUCGUUAAAAUAGUAAAUUCCUGAUGAUUCUUGGCAAUAGUUAGCGUCAGAAACCGAUAAAUACUAUGCUCUGAGUACGAUAAUCUGGCAACGGUGUCCUGGGGUCCCCUGCAGGCCACUGAGUUCUCGGGGCCGUGGUACGGGAGAUACGAAUAGUGAGUGAGGCGUAAUAACAUCAUCUGCGCAUGUCUGUUUCUGGAAUCGCUUUUGACCUACAUAACCCUGACAUCACUUCUUCAGAGCUUGCGUGUCAGUCGUCGGCUCCGGCAGCCAGCCCUACCGAUGUCUGGCCCCGCGCUUUUUCAUUUCUCGGCCUGAAUCUUUUAUCCUCUCGCUGCUUCUUGGAGGGGAAGUUGGGUGCUUGAUGCCAGAUAGUGCUGAAGAAAUGGAAGAAGACUGCCUGGAAAUAGAGGAAAAAAAGGCACAGACAGCACUUGCCAGGACGGCUCUGGGGAGAGUAUGCAUUCAGCCUCCUCCCUCUCCAUUGGGAAUGUCAGGUCUGAAUGCCAUCCAUCUCUCU
This is a long non-coding RNA of Eriocheir sinensis (Chinese mitten crab), 825 nucleotides long. RefSeq lists it as uncharacterized. The transcript is spliced from 3 exons. Lineage: Eukaryota; Metazoa; Arthropoda; Malacostraca; Decapoda; Varunidae. The record is from RefSeq and is a predicted model, not a curated record.